Gallus gallus (chicken) is the source of this 1007-nucleotide long non-coding RNA. Lineage: Eukaryota; Metazoa; Chordata; Aves; Galliformes; Phasianidae. The record is from Ensembl.
UCCAUCAGGCAGCUUUCCAGUCACUCCUCCCCAAGCCUGUAGGGUUGCCUGUGGUUGUUGUGACCAAAAUGCAGGUCCCAACACUUGGCCCUGUUGAAAGUCAUACGGUUUACCUUGGCCCAUCGAUCUGGUCUAUCCAGGUCCCUCAGUAGUGCCUUUCUCCACUCCGGCAGAUCAACAGUCCCUCCCAACUUCGUGUCAUUUACAAACUUAAUGAGGGUGCACUUAAUCCCUUCAUCAAGAUCAUCAAUAAAGAUGUUAAAUAGAAGCGGCCCCAGUACUGAGCCCUGGGGGACUCCGCUCGUGACCAGCCACCCACUGGAUUUAACUCCAUUGACCACAGCUCUUUGGGCCCAGCCACCCAGCCGGUGUUUCACCCAGCGGAGCGUACACCCAUCCAAACCAUGGGCAGCCAGCUACUCCAUGAGGAUGUUGGGAGGGACAGUGUCAAAGGCCUUACUGAAGUCCAGGUAGACCACAUUGACAGCCUUACCUCCAUCCACUAAGCGGAUCACCUUGUCAUAGAGUGAAAUCAGGUUUGUCAAACAGGAUCUACCAUUUGUAAACCCAUGCUGACUGGGCCUGAUCCCCUGGUAGACCUUUAACUGGUCCAUGAUGGUUCCCGAGAUUAUCUGUUCCAGAACCUUCCCCAGCUCCGAGGUGAAACUGAUAGGUCUGUAGCUACCAGGAUCAUCUUUCUGGCCCUUUUUGAAGAUGGGCGUCACAUUUGCCACUCUCCAGUCCUCUGUUGACAUCCCCAGUUAGCCAGGACUGCUGAAGGAUGAUGGAGUGUGGCUUGGCAACCACAUCUACCAACUCCCUCAGCACUCUAGGGUGCAAUCCAUCUGGCCUCAUGGACUUGUGAUCAUCCAGCUUUUGGAGCAGGUCCAAAGCCAUCUCAUCGUGGAUCAUACAGGGCCUAUUGUGUUCCCCAUCCCUAUCUACCAGCGCAGGGGGCUGUGUUCCCAGAUAGUAACAAGUCUUACUAUUAAAGACUGAGUUAAAGU